Molecule: long non-coding RNA, 1352 nt
Filed under: Bos grunniens (domestic yak)
Lineage: Eukaryota; Metazoa; Chordata; Mammalia; Artiodactyla; Bovidae
Description: lncRNA (ENSBGRG00000017182.1)
Source: RNAcentral
AUGCUGGGGAGUGUGGGAGCUCUGGGUGGGGGUCCCCUCGGCCCUCUGUCUCUCCCCCUCUGGGUGGGGAUCCCCUCACCUCUCUGUCUCUCCCCCUCUGGGUCGGAGUCCCCCACCCCUCUGUCUCUCCCCCUCUGGGUGGGGGUCCCCCCGCCCCUCUGUCUCUCGCCCUCCCCUCUGUCUCUCCCACUCCAGGUGGGGGUCCCCCCAGCCCUCUCUGUCUCUGCCCCUCCGGGUGGGGGUCUCCCCAGCCCUCUGUCUCUCCCCCUCCGGAUGGGGUCCCCCCGGCCCUCUGUCUAUCCCCCUCCGGGUGGGGGUCCCCCUUCCCUCUGUCUCUCUCACUCCAGGUGGGGGUUCCCCCAGCCCUCUCUGUCUCUGCCCCUCCGGGUGGGGGUCUCCCCAGCCCUCUGUCUCUCCCCCUCCGGAUGGGGUCCCCCCGGCCCUCUGUCUAUCCCCCUCCGGGUGGGGGUCCCCCUCCCCUCUGUCUCUCUCCCUCCAGGUGGGGGUCCCCUCGCCCUCUGUCUCUCCUCUCCGGGUGGGGGUCCCCCCGCCCCUCUGUCUCUCCCCUUCUUCAGGGUAGGGGUCCCCCCGCCUGUCUCUCCCUCCGUGUGGGGGUCCCCUAUCCCCUCUGUCUUUCCCCCUCUGUCCCUCCGGGUGGGGAUCCCCCCGCCCCUCUGUCUCUCCCUCUGGGAGGGAGUCCCCCAGGCCCUCUGUCUCUCCCUCUCCGGGUGGGGGACCCAUGAGGGAUCCGCUCGCCCCUCUGUGUCUCCCUCUCUUGGUGGGAGUCCCCUCGCCCCUCUGUCUCUCCCUCUGGGUGGGGGUCCGAUGAGGGAUCCCCCGCCCCUCUGUGUCUCCCCCUCUGGGUGGGGGUCCCCCCGCCCCUCUGUCUCUCCCUCCAGGUGGGGGUUCUCUCGCCCCUCUGUCUCUCCCCAUCCGGGUGGGGGUCCCCUCGCCGUCUGUCUCUCCCCCUCUGUCCCUCCGUGUGGGGUCCUCUCGCCCUCUGUCUCUCCCUCUGGGUGGGGUCCCCGCCCCUCUGUCUCUCCCCGUCCAGAUGGAGGUUCCCUCGCCCCUCUGUCUCUCCCCGUCCGGGUGGGGAUCCGCUCAUCCCUCUGUCUCUCCCCCUCCAGGUGGGGGUCCCCCAACCCUGUCUCUCUAUCUGGGUGAGGGUCCCCCCGCCCCUCUGUCUCUCCCCUUCUUCAGGGUAGGGGUCCCCCCGCCUGUCUCUCCCUCCGUGUGGGGGUCCCCUAUCCCCUCUGUCUUUCCCCCUCUGUCCCUCCGGGUGGGGAUCCCCCCGCCCCUCUGUCUCUCCCUCUGGGAGGGAGUCCCCCAGGCCCUCUGUCUCUCCCUCUCCG